GACUAACGCUGGCGGCGUGCCUAACACAUGCAAGUCGAACGAGGUAUCAAUACCUAGUGGCAGACGGGUGAGUAACACGUAGUCAACCUACCUUUUAGUGGGGGAUAACUAGCCGAAAGGUUAGCUAAUACCGCAUACGCUCUAUGAGUGGCAUCACUUAUAGAGGAAAGCAGCAAUGCGCUAAGAGACGGGACUGCGUCCCAUUAGUUAGUAGGUGGGGUAAUGGCCUACCUAGACUUCGAUGGGUAGCUGGCUUGAGAGAGCGACCAG
This 270-nucleotide ribosomal RNA is filed under the name uncultured bacterium. RNAcentral describes it as "partial 16S ribosomal RNA". It matches the Rfam family "Bacterial small subunit ribosomal RNA", at positions 28 to 307 of the family's 1533-position model. The record is from RNAcentral.